GCCAUUCUAGUAAUUUAGGGUACGUUCAGACUUAGCGUCUUUUUCUGACAAAAGAAGUUAUGCAGACCGUUUUUUCAGUUUGAAAAAAAAAUCUGUUCCAAAAAGCAGCCGGAAGCUGGGUUUUUUUUUUUGCGAUAGGCAAAGUAACUAACGUUACGUGUGGAUACAAAAUAUCGCAGAAGAAAAAAUUGGGGUUGGCUAUUGCUUUUGGUAUGUUGUGGUAAAGUUGUGAAGUCAUGUCAAACAAUUCCCUAUACUC
Alosa sapidissima (American shad) is the source of this 259-nucleotide long non-coding RNA. RefSeq lists it as uncharacterized. The transcript has 3 exons. The record is from RefSeq and is a predicted model, not a curated record. Lineage: Eukaryota; Metazoa; Chordata; Actinopteri; Clupeiformes; Clupeidae.